Molecule: ribosomal RNA, 253 nt
Filed under: uncultured bacterium
Lineage: Bacteria
Description: partial 16S ribosomal RNA
Rfam family: Bacterial small subunit ribosomal RNA
Source: RNAcentral
UACGGGGGGGGCAAGCGUUGUUCGGAAUUACUGGGCGUAAAGGGCUCAUAGGCGGCCAACUAAGUCGGAUGUGAAAUCCCCAGGCUUAACCUGGGAACUGCAUCCGAUACUGGAUGGCUUGAAUCCGGGAGAGGGAUGCAGAAUUCCAGGUGUAGCGGUGAAAUGCGUAGAUAUCUGGAGGAAUACCGGUGGCGAAGGCGGCAUCCUGGACCGGCAUUGACGCUGAUGAGCGAAAGCUAGGGGAGCAAACGGG